This 2028-nucleotide ribosomal RNA is filed under the name Triticum aestivum (bread wheat). Its description in RNAcentral is "partial small subunit ribosomal RNA". Lineage: Eukaryota; Viridiplantae; Streptophyta; Magnoliopsida; Poales; Poaceae. The record is from RNAcentral.
UCCAAAAUGACUAGCGCACAGCGUCAGAUUCUCCCGUCAGCGGAUCCACACGCGGGGCAACAACAACCAAAUCCGGUGGGCGGACGGGGAACUUGAGGACGGAGGAUGGUGGUGGAGUUCCCCAUCACCUUGCGGGAGCUCUACAGGAACGCCAUCACGAACUGAAUUUCAGAUUUGGCAUUAGGAGUUGCUAAUAACUCGAAGGGAACAAGGAAAUUGUUGGCUUUCUUCAAUACAUCCAACCAAUAGAAUUUUAUAUCAACCAUGGCUGAGCAGGAUUUUGCAACAAAGCUCUCACUACGGAAAUUCAUGGCGACGGCGCAGCGUGUAACUCUAGAUCAAAGGCACCUUGCCCGUAGCAUGGGCCUGGAUCAUCUGCUUGACCUAAAAUGUGAUACUCUGCCGCGCGGUGUCGUUCAUUAUCUGGCAUCAAACUUUGAUGUACCCUCAAGGGCUAUUGAACUCCCCAAUGGGUUCAAGUUCACAAUCACACCCUACUGCAUACACCAGGUCCUGGGGAUACCACUUGGCGGCAGAACCAUAGAGAAGAAGCAAAACCCAGCUCUUAGAUCACUGAUUGCUCAACAGACAAAAUGCAAAGGAAACUACCCAACCAUAAACGAGCUGGAUAACUUGAUACAACCUGGGCUAGAUGGAGAUUCAUUCAAAAGGAUUUUCACAAUGUAUGCGCUCACCGUGCUCCUCUGCCCUUCAAGCCAUGGGGCUGCUAGUCCAGAUUACUACCACAUUCUGGAAGACCCUGAACAGAUUGGCUCAUUCGACUUCUGCACGGCUGUCCUUGACAAGCUUGUGGCGUCAAUUGAUAGCUACAAGACUGGAGCCACAACGGUGCUCGGCGGGGAUCUCUUAACACUCACGAUCAUAUACUUUGAAUUUCUUGACACCGACAUCAUGCCGGUCACAAGCAAGCGGCCACGGAUUUCACUUUGGACGUCUGAAAUUGUAGCAGAAUAUGAAAGGCGAGACUGCACAAGCAGCGAUAAAUUGCUUUACGGCAGGCUCCCGACAAAGCGUGUCUCGGAAACACCCUUCGGUCAAAUCAACAGACAGCCAAAAGUCACACUAGGUGCCUCGUAUGAUGAACUCCUGCAGUUCACCCUCUCAAUUGUUCCAGAGGAAAACCACCAGAUGGUUUUAGACGAGCUUCCAAAGAUUAUGCAUAGCAUGCAGAGCGAGCUUUUUGAUUCAAUGCAAAAUGUACUCGCCAAGAACUUUAUGAACCUGCUGAAACUGAUGUCGUCAAUGCAUUCUUCAUCGCCUAGCAAAAAACAGAAUAGCACAGACAAAGAUUCAAGGUGCGUGCCCAUUUCAGAGGCUCCGACGGUUCCUUGUGGUAGCCACUCCAGCUUGCAAAUGACAAGUACCACACUGGCUGAAAGAAAACAGGAUAAGCCUGAAGCAAAAACAGGGGUAGAAUGUGGCUCAGGGCAGGAAACAGAGCACGUUUUUACAGCUGAAGAAACAAAGCCAUUGUCUGAAGUACAAAGGAAGAACAACAAAGCCCCCGUACCCGUGCUCUUGAGUUUUGAGGAUACAAGUGAUGAAGUUUUGGCGGAAUGGGACAAACAAGCAUGUGCCAAUGCCAGGGUACCCAACGUUGAAAGCCUACUUCGAAUAAUUGACACAAUACCAAUUUCGACCGACCUAGACCUGCCGCGCUGCACGGAAGCAUUGGAGGGGAUGUACCCACAGAAGGUGCAGGUUGGAGAUACCGAGGCUGAACCUACCCACAUUUUUAGCUUGCUUUCUUAUGUUCUUGACGAGAAAGCAUUUUGGCACCGACCGCUGAGUCCACGAGAGCCAGAUUUAUUAACCUGCAGGGAGCUCAAUCUAUUUGAAGAAUGGAAGGUCUCUACCAAGGUUGAUGGUAGUGAAGGUCCAACCAGCAGUGACCCUAUCAGGACGACAGAGGACAUCACUAAUAGAAACAAAAGGACGACAUGCAUGUCCUUAAACGAGACGGCUGACAACUGCGUUGCUUUGAAAAAAAGGGCAAGGAUGUUUUAG